RNAcentral lists this ribosomal RNA (497 nucleotides) under uncultured bacterium. RNAcentral's name for it is "partial 16S ribosomal RNA". It matches the Rfam family "Bacterial small subunit ribosomal RNA", at positions 28 to 507 of the family's 1533-position model. The record is from RNAcentral.
GAUGAACGCUGGCGGCGUGCCUAAUACAUGCAAGUCGAGCGAACGGACGAGAAGCUUGCUUCUCUGAUGUUAGCGGCGGACGGGUGAGUAACACGUGGAUAACCUACCUAUAAGACUGGGAUAACUUCGGGAAACUGGAGCUAAUACCGGAUAAUAUUUUGAACCGCAUGGUUCAAAAGUGAAAGACGGUCUUGCUGUCACUUAUAGAUGGAUCCGCGCUGCAUUAGCUAGUUGGUAAGGUAACGGCUUACCAAGGCAACGAUGCAUAGCCGACCUGAGAGGGUGAUCGGCCACACUGGAACUGAGACACGGCCCAGACUCCUACGGGAGGCAGCAGUAGGGAAUCUUCCGCAAUGGGCGAAAGCCUGACGGAGCAACGCCGCGUGAGUGAUGAAGGUCUUCGGAUCGUAAAACUCUGUUAUUAGGGAAGAACAUAUGUGUAAGUAACUGUGCACAUCUUGACGGUACCUAAUCAGAAAGCCACGGCUAACUACGUG